UUUCCGUAGGUGAACCUGCGGAGGGAUCAUUAACACGUUCCAAACCCUAUCAACCAACCUGUGAACUUUGUAUCUGCCUCAGCUUCGAUAUUGGCAACAGUAUCGAAAACUUUGGUUUGGCUGUCUGUAGUACGCUGUAUUUCGAGUCUCGAUGGUGGUUGGAGAGGUCAUACUCUUAAUUCGACUCCAGUGUAUCGUGAGAAGUCGCUUAGAGUUUCUUAGCAGCGCCAAAUCAAAGGAGGCCCAACCUAAUAGAUCAAACAGCUGACCAUCAGUUGUUGAUCUGUUAAACCUUUGCCACUCGCCCUUUUUGAAGGUUGUUUAGUUUACUCAAUCGACCUUACAAAACAGAAUUAAUCAAUUUCUAUCUGCGACUGACCGUGUCUGAUCGUUAUCUCUAAGCUAGCGUAUCUUUGACUGCAGUGUGUAGCAACAAAAAAACUAACAGAGUAAUACAACUCUUAGCAAUGGAUAUCUUGGUUCUC
Molecule: unclassified non-coding RNA, 485 nt
Filed under: plant metagenome
Description: partial contains small subunit ribosomal RNA, internal transcribed spacer 1, and 5.8S ribosomal RNA
Source: RNAcentral